This 119-nucleotide ribosomal RNA is filed under the name Salmo salar (Atlantic salmon). Lineage: Eukaryota; Metazoa; Chordata; Actinopteri; Salmoniformes; Salmonidae. The record is from RNAcentral.
GCUUACGGCCAUAUCAGCCUGGGUACGCCCGAUCUCGUCUGAUCUCGGAAGCUAAGCAGGGUCGGGCCUGGUUAGUACUUGGAUGGGAGACUGACUGGGAAUACCAGGUGCUGUAAGCA